Molecule: non-coding RNA, 132 nt
Organism: Ustulina deusta
Lineage: Eukaryota; Fungi; Ascomycota; Sordariomycetes; Xylariales; Xylariaceae
Source: the annotation of a GenBank genome assembly
UCCUCGGUGGCGCAAUUGGCUAGCGCGUCGUAAGUUAUACCUUAAAUAAACGUAGGUGAUAUACCUAGUGUUCUAACAAUAUUCUAGUGACUGUUAAUCAGGAGGUUGAAAGUUCGAGCCUUUCCCGGGGAG